CCUACGGGAGGCAGCAGUGAGGAAUAUUGGUCAAUGGUCGGGAGCCUGAACCAGCCAAGUCGCGUGAGGGAAGACGGUCCUAUGGAUUGUAAACCUCUUUUGGCGGGGAGCAAUGCCUGGCACGCGUGCCCGGAUGGGUAUUACCCGCAGAAUAACCAUCGGCUAACUCCGUGCCAGCAGCCGCGGUAUUACGGAGGAUGCGAGCGUUACCCGGAUUUAUUGGGUUUAAAGGGUGCGUAGGCGGAUUUUUAAGUCAGCGGUAAAAUGUCGGGGCUCAACCCGGGCCGGCCGUUGAAACUGGGAGUCGUGAGUGGGCGAGAAGUAUGCGGAAUGCGUGGUGUAGCGGUGAAAUGCAUAGAUAUCGCGCAGAACUCCGAUUGCGAAGGCAGCAUGCCGGCGCCAGACUGACGCUGAGGCACGAAAGCGUGGGGAUCGAACAGGAUUAGAUACCCCAGUAGUC
This 460-nucleotide ribosomal RNA is filed under the name uncultured bacterium. RNAcentral's name for it is "partial 16S ribosomal RNA". It matches the Rfam family "Bacterial small subunit ribosomal RNA", at positions 338 to 795 of the family's 1533-position model. The record is from RNAcentral.